CCUUUGUCAGAUGAGUAGAUUGCAAAAAUUUUCUCCCAUUCUGUAGGUUGCCAGGCCAUGUCUUAAUUGGAUGAGUCAGCAUUUGAACCCAGAUCAGCAGUUCAUUGCUUGUUCUAAAGCAACGUGGCACCUCUGAAGAACUAAAAGGGGCCUAACCACAGAAGUGUUGCCAGCAGUUCUAUGUGGCUUAUGCAGCCUGGUGUGUGGGCACAGCCGUUCACUGGCUCUCAGUAAAUCUUGAAAAUAGCCCAGGACCACAGCCCAAUGAACAGCUGAACGAAAACACUCAGAGCAUGAAGAAUGCCUUGCACAGCUGCCUGACAAGCUGUAUUUUCCCAUUUGGCAGGUGAAGUUCUCUCCAGAAAAUGGUCAUCUCAUGAUCCAAAGUAGCUGGGAGAGCUGCAGCCAUCUCAACACAUUCCUGGCAGCAAGAAGGAGGAAGAGCAGAAAU
Molecule: long non-coding RNA, 451 nt
Organism: Chlorocebus sabaeus (green monkey)
Lineage: Eukaryota; Metazoa; Chordata; Mammalia; Primates; Cercopithecidae
Source: RefSeq, a predicted model, not a curated record